UGGGGAAUAUUGCACAAUGGAGGGAACUCUGAUGCAGCGACGCCGCGUGAGUGAUGAAGGAAUUCGUUUCGUAAAACUCUUUUCUAUGGGAAGAAAAGGACUGUACCAUAGGAGAAAGCUCCGGCUAAAUACGUGCCAGCAGCCGCGGUAAUACGUAUGGAGCGAGCGUUGUCCGGAAUUAUUGGGCGUAAAGGGUGCGCAGGCGGCUUUACAAGUUGGAUGUGAAAUAUUGUGGCUCAACCACAAACGUGCAUCCAAAACUGCAAAGCUUGAGUGAAGGAGAGGUAAGUGGAAUUACUGGUGUAGCGGUGGAAUGCGUAGAUAUCAGGAGGAAUACCGGUGGCGAAGGCGACUUACUGGACUUAAACUGACGCUCAGGCACGAAAGCGUGGGGAGCAAACAGG
RNAcentral lists this ribosomal RNA (404 nucleotides) under Fusobacteriota bacterium. RNAcentral's name for it is "Fusobacteria bacterium partial 16S ribosomal RNA". It matches the Rfam family "Bacterial small subunit ribosomal RNA", at positions 355 to 776 of the family's 1533-position model. The record is from RNAcentral. Lineage: Bacteria; Fusobacteriati; Fusobacteriota.